GGGGACGUAGCUCAGCUGGGAGAGCGCCUGCCUUGCAAGCAGGCGGUCGCCGGUUCAAGUCCGGCCGUCUCCA
Molecule: non-coding RNA, 73 nt
Organism: Thermovibrio ammonificans HB-1
Lineage: Bacteria; Pseudomonadati; Aquificota; Aquificia; Desulfurobacteriales; Desulfurobacteriaceae
Source: Rfam